RNAcentral lists this long non-coding RNA (426 nucleotides) under Androctonus crassicauda. The record is from RNAcentral. Lineage: Eukaryota; Metazoa; Arthropoda; Arachnida; Scorpiones; Buthidae.
AGUAAUUCGAGUUACAAGAUCCAUUAUGGAACGAAUUAAACUUGUAAGUUGAGGUACCACUAUAUUUCUGACGGUCUUAGGAACUGAGACACUGCUCCUCUCUCCAUCUCCAGGUGGAUUUGCCCACAUGCAUAUAUGCCCACAUAUGAGUGCCCGGCAUGAUGACAUCAUCGUGCCCACUCCAUCACAUAUACCCUGUACAAAUACAGGUGUAUGUGAUGGUUGGUGCCAUAAUGUACUUAUGUGGACCAAUCACACAUGUAGAGAGCAGAUACUUGUAGAAAGCAGCUGCUGUGUUGAAAGCAGCAGUAUUGGAGGUAACAGGACACUUCAUGAAUUAUAAUUAUUGGAUAACAACUUUCAAGUAAACUGCUAAACCCUGUUAACUAUUAAUGUGAAAGAAUGGCGCUCAUGUGCAGUUUUGGG